This is a non-coding RNA of Schistosoma haematobium, 42 nucleotides long. NCBI's taxonomy places the organism in Eukaryota, Metazoa, Platyhelminthes, Trematoda, Strigeidida, Schistosomatidae. The record is from Rfam.
AUCCAGCUGAGUCCCAAAUAGUACGAAACGCAAGUCCUGGAU